Molecule: long non-coding RNA, 126 nt
Organism: Bufo bufo (common toad)
Lineage: Eukaryota; Metazoa; Chordata; Amphibia; Anura; Bufonidae
Exons: 3
Source: RefSeq, a predicted model, not a curated record
CUGUGCCUCGCCGCCGCCGCCCCCCCCCCCCACUUCUGAGCAGCUCUGGGGGGGGAGCAAUUGCCCCGUUGCCCCCUCCCCCUGGAUCUGCCAGUGCCUUGCAAAGGCUCUUUCACACCUGCGUUC